This 412-nucleotide ribosomal RNA is filed under the name uncultured Methanosaeta sp. RNAcentral describes it as "bacterial SSU rRNA". It matches the Rfam family "Archaeal small subunit ribosomal RNA", at positions 926 to 1338 of the family's 1478-position model. The record is from RNAcentral. Lineage: Archaea; Methanobacteriati; Methanobacteriota; Methanomicrobia; Methanotrichales; Methanotrichaceae.
CUUACCGGGACCGACAGCAAUAUGAAGGCCAGGCUGAAGACUUUGCCGGAUUAGCUGAGAGGUGGUGCAUGGCCGUCGUCAGUUCGUACUGUGAAGCAUCCUGUUAAGUCAGGCAACGAGCGAGACCCACGCCCACAGUUGCCAGCGUACUCUCUGGAGUGACGGGUACACUGUGGGACCGCCGCUGCUAAAGCGGAGGAAGGAAUGGGCAACGGUAGGUCAGUAUGCCCCGAAUAUCCCGGGCUACACGCGAGCUACAAUGGUUGGUACAAUGGGUAUCUACCCCGAAAGGGGACGGGAAUCUCCUAAAACCAAUCUUAGUUCGGAUUGAGGGCUGCAACUCGCCCUCAUGAAGCUGGAAUCCGUAGUAAUCGCGUUUCAACAGAACGCGGUGAAUACGUCCCUGCUCCUU